RNAcentral lists this ribosomal RNA (166 nucleotides) under uncultured bacterium. RNAcentral's name for it is "partial 16S ribosomal RNA". It matches the Rfam family "Bacterial small subunit ribosomal RNA", at positions 1334 to 1500 of the family's 1533-position model. The record is from RNAcentral.
GCUAGUAAUGGCAGGUCAGCAUACUGCCGUGAAUACGUUCCCGGGCCUUGUACACACCGCCCGUCACACCAUGGGAGUUUGUAACACCCGAAGUCAGUAUCCUAACCGCAAGGGGGAGCUGCCGAAGGUGGGAUAAGCGACUGGGGUGAAGUCGUAACAAGGUAGC